UACGAAGGGGGCUAGCGUUGUUCGGAAUUAUUGGGCGUAAAGAGCUCGUAGGCGGUCUGUUGCGUCCGCUGUGAAAACUCGGGGCUUAACCCCGAGCCUGCAGUGGAUACGGGCAGACUAGAGGUAGGUAGGGGAGAAUGGAAUUCCCGGUGUAGCGGUGAAAUGCGCAGAUAUCGGGAGGAACACCGGUGGCGAAGGCGGUUCUCUGGGACGGUACUGACGCUGAGGUGCGAAAGCGUGGGGAGCGAACGGG
Molecule: ribosomal RNA, 253 nt
Filed under: uncultured bacterium
Lineage: Bacteria
Description: partial 16S ribosomal RNA
Rfam family: Bacterial small subunit ribosomal RNA
Source: RNAcentral